RNAcentral lists this small nuclear RNA (265 nucleotides) under Heterocephalus glaber (naked mole-rat). RNAcentral describes it as "7SK RNA". It matches the Rfam family "7SK RNA". Rfam says of the family: 7SK was discovered as an abundant small nuclear RNA in the mid-70s but a possible function has only recently been suggested. The record is from Rfam by way of RNAcentral. Lineage: Eukaryota; Metazoa; Chordata; Mammalia; Rodentia; Bathyergidae.
GGAUGUGAAGGCGAUCUGGUUGCUAUAUCUGUCAGUCUGUUGAUUGCCAGGGUUGAUUUGACUGAUCUGGCUGGCUAGGCAGGUAUCCCCUUCCUCACUGCUCCAUUUUUGUCCCUCCUGAAGCUGCACGCCUGGUUGAAGAGGAGGACCACCCCAAUAGAACUGGACUGUUUUCUUGGUCAAGGGUAUAUUCUCCCCUAAUAGAAUCUCAAAACAAACUCUUAAAACUUGCAAAUCUGGCUUUUCAAGUGCCAUUGUGCUACUU